UACACGUAGAGCAUACGCAGGUGAAUGAGCAAAUGAUGUUGAAGGAACUCGGCAAAUUGAUCCCGUAACUUCGGAAGAAGGGAUGCCUUUCUUUGGGCAACCAGAGAGAGGUUGCACGGGCCAGGGGGUAGCGACUGUUUAUCAAAAACACAGGUCUCUGCAAAGUCGUAAGACGAAGUAUAGGGGCUGACGCCUGCCCGGUGCUGGAAGGUUAAGAGGAGAUCUGCAAGCAUUGAAUUGAAGCCCCAGUAAACGGCGGCCGUAAAAUAACGGUCCUAAGGUAGCGAAAUUCCUUGUCGGGUAAGUUCCGACCCGCACGAAUGGCGUAACGACUUCCCCACUGUCUCCAACAUCACCUCAGUGAAAUUGAAUUCUCCGUGAAGAUGCGGAGUUCCCGCGGUUAGACGAAAAGACCCCGUGCACCUUUACUAUAGCUUUGCAUUGGUAUUAGGACACAAAUGUGUAGGAUAGGUGGGAGCCUAUGAAGCGUUGGCGCUAGUUGACGUGGAGGCAUCCUUGAAAUACCACCCUUUUGUGUUUUGAUAUCUAACUGAGGUCCAUUAUCUGGAUCCAGGACCAUGCAUGGUGGGUAGUUUGACUGGGCGGUCGCCUCCCAAAGAGUAACGGAGGCGCGCGAAGGUAGGCUCAAGCUGGUCGGAAAUCAGCUGUAGAGUGCAAUGGCAUAAGCCUGCUUAACUGCAAGACUGACAAGUCGAGCAGAGACGAAAGUCGGUCAUAGUGAUCUGGUGAUUCUGCGUGGAAGGGUCAUCACUCAACGAAUAAAAGGUACGCCGGGGAUAACAGGCUGAUCUCCCCCAAGAGUUCACAUCGACGGGGAGGUUUGGCACCUCGAUGUCGACUCAUCACAUCCUGGGGCUGAAGAAGGUCCCAAGGGUUUGGCUGUUCGCCAAUUAAAGUGGUACGUGAGUUGGGUUCAGAACGUCGUGAGACAGUUCGGUUUCUAUCUGCCGCGGGUGUUGAAGAAUUGAAAGGAGCUGCCCCUAGUACGAGAGGACCGGGGUGGACGUACCACUGGUGUACCAGUUGUUCUGCCAAGAGCACUGCUGGGUAGCUAUGUACGGAAGAGAUAACCGCUGAAAGCAUCUAAGCGGGAAGCUCCCCUUGAAACUAAUUCUUCCUAUGAGAGCCGUCAAAGAACAUGACGUUGAUAGGUCAGAUGUGGAAGCAUGGUAACAUGUGCAGCUAACUGAUACUAAUCGCUUC
This 1224-nucleotide ribosomal RNA is filed under the name metagenome. RNAcentral describes it as "bacterial LSU rRNA". It matches the Rfam family "Bacterial large subunit ribosomal RNA", at positions 1666 to 2911 of the family's 2925-position model. The record is from RNAcentral.